This 838-nucleotide ribosomal RNA is filed under the name Arthrobacter sp. RNAcentral describes it as "bacterial SSU rRNA". It matches the Rfam family "Bacterial small subunit ribosomal RNA", at positions 85 to 934 of the family's 1533-position model. The record is from RNAcentral. Lineage: Bacteria; Bacillati; Actinomycetota; Actinomycetes; Micrococcales; Micrococcaceae.
GGGGGGAUUAGNGGCGAACGGGUGAGUAACACGUGAGUAACCUGCCCUUAACUCUGGGAUAAGCCUGGGAAACUGGGUCUAAUACCGGAUAUGACUCCUCAUCGCAUGGUGGGGGGUGGAAAGCUUUAUUGUGGUUUUGGAUGGACUCGCGGCCUAUCAGCUUGUUGGUGAGGUAAUGGCUCACCAAGGCGACGACGGGUAGCCGGCCUGAGAGGGUGACCGGCCACACUGGGACUGAGACACGGCCCAGACUCCUACGGGAGGCAGCAGUGGGGAAUAUUGCACAAUGGGCGAAAGCCUGAUGCAGCGACGCCGCGUGAGGGAUGACGGCCUUCGGGUUGUAAACCUCUUUCAGUAGGGAAGAAGCGAAAGUGACGGUACCUGCAGAAGAAGCGCCGGCUAACUACGUGCCAGCAGCCGCGGUAAUACGUAGGGCGCAAGCGUUAUCCGGAAUUAUUGGGCGUAAAGAGCUCGUAGGCGGUUUGUCGCGUCUGCCGUGAAAGUCCGGGGCUCAACUCCGGAUCUGCGGUGGGUACGGGCAGACUAGAGUGAUGUAGGGGAGACUGGAAUUCCUGGUGUAGCGGUGAAAUGCGCAGAUAUCAGGAGGAACACCGAUGGCGAAGGCAGGUCUCUGGGCAUUAACUGACGCUGAGGAGCGAAAGCAUGGGGAGCGAACAGGAUUAGAUACCCUGGUAGUCCAUGCCGUAAACGUUGGGCACUAGGUGUGGGGGACAUUCCACGUUUUCCGCGCCGUAGCUAACGCAUUAAGUGCCCCGCCUGGGGAGUCCGGCCGCAAGGCUAAAACUCAAAGGAAUUGACGGGGCCCCGCACAGCGGCG